This 555-nucleotide ribosomal RNA is filed under the name Rhizopus arrhizus. RNAcentral's name for it is "eukaryotic LSU rRNA". The stretch from base 152 to 305 matches the Rfam family "5.8S ribosomal RNA". The record is from RNAcentral. Lineage: Eukaryota; Fungi; Mucoromycota; Mucoromycetes; Mucorales; Rhizopodaceae.
GUGAUUGCUUCUACACUGUGAAAAUUUGGCUGAGAGACUCAGACUGGUCAUGGGUAGACCUAUCUGGGGUUUGAUCGAUGCCACUCCUGGUUUCAGGAGCACCCUUCAUAAUAAACCUAGAAAUUCAGUAUUAUAAAGUUUAAUAAAAAACAACUUUUAACAAUGGAUCUCUUGGUUCUCGCAUCGAUGAAGAACGUAGCAAAGUGCGAUAACUAGUGUGAAUUGCAUAUUCAGUGAAUCAUCGAGUCUUUGAACGCAGCUUGCACUCUAUGGUUUUUCUAUAGAGUACGCCUGCUUCAGUAUCAUCACAAACCCACACAUAACAUUUGUUUAUGUGGUAAUGGGUCGCAUCGCUGUUUUAUUACAGUGAGCACCUAAAAUGUGUGUGAUUUUCUGUCUGGCUUGCUAGGCAGGAAUAUUACGCUGGUCUCAGGAUCUUUUUCUUUGGUUCGCCCAGGAAGUAAAGUACAAGAGUAUAAUCCAGCAACUUUCAAACUAUGAUCUGAAGUCAGGUGGGAUUACCCGCUGAACUUAAGCAUAUCAAUAAGCGGAGGA